Acanthosepion pharaonis is the source of this 99-nucleotide non-coding RNA. NCBI's taxonomy places the organism in Eukaryota, Metazoa, Mollusca, Cephalopoda, Sepiida, Sepiidae. The record is from the annotation of a GenBank genome assembly.
GCGUUGAAACACCGGUUUUCGUACGAUCACCAAAGUAAAGCAACGUCAAGCUUGGUCAUUACCUAAGUGGGUGACCGCUAGGGAAUACUAGGUAUUGUA